RNAcentral lists this ribosomal RNA (253 nucleotides) under uncultured bacterium. RNAcentral's name for it is "partial 16S ribosomal RNA". It matches the Rfam family "Bacterial small subunit ribosomal RNA", at positions 524 to 776 of the family's 1533-position model. The record is from RNAcentral.
UACAGAGGUCCCAAGCGUUGUUCGGAUUCACUGGGCGUAAAGGGUGCGUAGGCGGUCGGGUAAGUCUGAUGUGAAAUCUCACAGCUUAACUGUGAAACUGCAUUGGAUACUAUCCGGCUCGAGGAAUGGAGGGGAGACUGGAAUACUUGGUGUAGCAGUGAAAUGCGUAGAUAUCAAGUGGAACACCAGUGGCGAAGGCGAGUCUCUGGACAUUUCCUGACGCUGAGGCACGAAAGCCAGGGGAGCAAACGGA